UACGAAGGGGGCUAGCGUUGUUCGGAAUUACUGGGCGUAAAGGGCGCGUAGGCGGUGUGUCAAGUCAGGCGUGAAAGCCCCGGGCUCAACCUGGGAACCGCGCUUGAGACUGGCACGCUAGAGUUCGGGAGAGGAUGGUGGAAUUCCCAGUGUAGAGGUGAAAUUCGUAGAUAUUGGGAAGAACACCGAUGGCGAGGGCAGCCAUCUGGACCGACACUGACGCUGAGGCGCGAAAGCGUGGGGAGCAAACAGG
This 253-nucleotide ribosomal RNA is filed under the name uncultured bacterium. RNAcentral describes it as "partial 16S ribosomal RNA". It matches the Rfam family "Bacterial small subunit ribosomal RNA", at positions 524 to 776 of the family's 1533-position model. The record is from RNAcentral.